GAUGAAGAACGUAGCGAAAUGCGAUAAGUAAUGCGAAUUGCAGAAUUUCCGUGAGUCAUCGAAUCUUUGAACGCACAUUGCGCCCCCUGGUAUUCCGGGGGGCAUGCCUGUUCGAGCGUCAUUUCACCACUCAAGCCUCGCUUGGUAUUGGGCGACGCGGUCCGCCGCGCGCCUCAAAUCGACCGGCUGGGUCUUUCGUCCCCUCAGCGUUGUGGAAACUAUUCGCUAAAGGGUGCCGCGGGAGGCCACGCCGUAAAACAACCCCAUUUCUAAGGUUGACCUCGGAUCAGGUAGGGAUACCCGCUGAACUUAAGCAUAUCAAUAAGCGGAGGA
This 333-nucleotide unclassified non-coding RNA is filed under the name soil metagenome. RNAcentral's name for it is "partial contains 5.8S ribosomal RNA, internal transcribed spacer 2, and large subunit ribosomal RNA". The stretch from base 1 to 121 matches the Rfam family "5.8S ribosomal RNA", at positions 35 to 154 of the family's 154-position model. The record is from RNAcentral.